This is a long non-coding RNA of Bos taurus (domestic cattle), 614 nucleotides long. NCBI's taxonomy places the organism in Eukaryota, Metazoa, Chordata, Mammalia, Artiodactyla, Bovidae. The record is from Ensembl.
GAGGGCUGAAGGGAAUCACGCCUAUAAGCGGGCCCUGCCAGGACCUAACAUUUUCCCUUCUCCAGCCACAGUAAAAAUAAAUGCUCCUGCCAUUAAUAGGACUAGACCUUGCCUGCCAAUGAACACAUCUGCAGAGGAGCCACCUGGAGGGACAAAUACACAAGGACUUGUCAGCUAUCCACCUGCCAGACUACUUCUCUUAAAGGCCCUGUGGGAAGCCCUCACAUACCACCCAGAAGAGAACCUGCUGAGUUCUGUGUGGCAGAAAGCAGGCAGGAAAGAAUUUGAGAGCAAGCCAUAGUAAAGUGAAAGAUUUAUUCAUGGAGAUGCACACUUCAUAAAGUGUGGGCCAUCUUAGAAGACAAGGCCACCAUUCAGUAACCUUGAGAACCAUUAAACCCAUCACAAGACCACCUGAUGCCAGAUGAUUGAAGGAAUGAAGGCCCUGCAUGCACCCUGAUCCUUAUCAGCACCUCUGCCUCUUGACUACAAGACUCCUCACAAUCCACUUAUUCCACCCCCGGUUGGGACAUACAGUUUUGAGGGCAUUAGCCUGCUGCAGCCCCCUUUGCCUGGCAAAGCAAUAAAACUAUUCGUUUCUAUGUCAUCCAAAA